CCCUUGUACACACCGCCCGUCAAGCCAUGAGAGUCGGGAGGACCUGAAGCCAGUUGCUGUGAGGCGCUGUUUAGGGUUAAACCGAUGAUUAGGGCU
This 96-nucleotide ribosomal RNA is filed under the name uncultured bacterium. Its description in RNAcentral is "partial 16S ribosomal RNA". The record is from RNAcentral.